ACUAUAAUAGUUUAUUUAGAAUAUUAAUUUGUGGAAUUAAAGGUGUAGGUCUUACUUUUAGUA
This 63-nucleotide transfer RNA is filed under the name Scolytinae sp. BMNH 1274292. RNAcentral describes it as "tRNA-His". Lineage: Eukaryota; Metazoa; Arthropoda; Insecta; Coleoptera; Curculionidae. The record is from RNAcentral.